UACAGAGGGUGCGAGCGUUAAUCGGAAUUACUGGGCGUAAAGCGUGCGUAGACGGUCAUGUAAGUCGGAUGUGAAAGCCCCGGGCUCAACCUGGGAAUUGCAUUCGAGACUGCAAGGCUUGAGUGCGGCAGAGGAGACUGGAAUUCCUGGUGUAGCAGUGAAAUGCGUAGAUAUCAGGAGGAACACCGAUGGCGAAGGCAGCUCGCUGGGACGUGACUGACGCUGAGACGCGAAAGCGUGGGGAGCAAACAGG
RNAcentral lists this ribosomal RNA (253 nucleotides) under uncultured bacterium. Its description in RNAcentral is "partial 16S ribosomal RNA". It matches the Rfam family "Bacterial small subunit ribosomal RNA", at positions 524 to 776 of the family's 1533-position model. The record is from RNAcentral.